Molecule: ribosomal RNA, 115 nt
Organism: Gorilla gorilla gorilla (western lowland gorilla)
Lineage: Eukaryota; Metazoa; Chordata; Mammalia; Primates; Hominidae
Source: Ensembl
CCCGAGCGCCAUAGCAACCUGAGGGCACCCCAGCCCGGAAGCUAAGCAGGGUUGGGCCUGGCUGCAGCUUGGAUGAGGGACUGCCUGGGGAUACCAGGGCUGGACGCUUUUGGCU